This 253-nucleotide ribosomal RNA is filed under the name uncultured bacterium. RNAcentral's name for it is "partial 16S ribosomal RNA". It matches the Rfam family "Bacterial small subunit ribosomal RNA", at positions 524 to 776 of the family's 1533-position model. The record is from RNAcentral.
UACAGAGGUCUCAAGCGUUGUUCGGAUUCAUUGGGCGUAAAGGGUGCGUAGGCGGCGCGGUAAGUCGGGUGUGAAAUCUCGGAGCUUAACUCCGAAACUGCAUUCGAUACUGCCGUGCUUGAGGACUGGAGAGGAGACUGGAAUUUACGGUGUAGCGGUGAAAUGCGUAGAUAUCUGGAGGAAUACCGGUGGCGAAGGCGGCAUCCUGGACCGGCAUUGACGCUGAGGAGCGAAAGCUAGGGGAGCAAACGGG